This 255-nucleotide ribosomal RNA is filed under the name uncultured bacterium. RNAcentral's name for it is "partial 16S ribosomal RNA". It matches the Rfam family "Bacterial small subunit ribosomal RNA", at positions 524 to 776 of the family's 1533-position model. The record is from RNAcentral.
UACGAAGGGGGCUAGCGUUGCUCGGAAUCACUGGGCGUAAAGCGCACGUAGGCGGACUCUUAAGUCGGUGGUGAAAUCCUGGAGCUCAACUCCAGAACUGCCUUCGAUACUGAGAGUCUUGAGUCCGGGGAGAGGUGAGUGGAACUGCGAGUGUAGAGGUGAAAUUCGUAGAUAUUCGCAAGAACACCAGUGGCGAAGGCGGCUCACUGGCCCGGGUACUGACGCUGAGGUGCGAAAGCGUGGGGAGCAAACAGG